Molecule: small nuclear RNA, 164 nt
Filed under: Strigops habroptila (Kakapo)
Lineage: Eukaryota; Metazoa; Chordata; Aves; Psittaciformes; Psittacidae
Description: U2 spliceosomal RNA (ENSSHBG00005008103.1)
Rfam family: U2 spliceosomal RNA
About the family: U2 is a small nuclear RNA (snRNA) component of the spliceosome (involved in pre-mRNA splicing). Complementary binding between U2 snRNA (in an area lying towards the 5' end but 3' to hairpin I) and the branchpoint sequence (BPS) of the intron results the bulging out of an unpaired adenosine, on the BPS, which initiates a nucleophilic attack at the intronic 5' splice site, thus starting the first of two transesterification reactions that mediate splicing.
Source: Rfam by way of RNAcentral
AUAGCUUCUCAGCCUUUUGGCUAAGAUCAAGUGUAGUAUCUGAAAACACAGCACUGCACUAGCUACUAAGAAGGAGAAAAAUAACUAUUACAGCUGAAUCCAGGACAGCACUGUACACUCUCUAAUGCAAAAAGUUCAUUAGACUUUUUGAUAGGGCAAUGAAG